GAUGCCCAGUGCAGCAGUGCAACUAAAAAGCUGCUCACGGGGCAAUUUGGCAACAAGNCAGGGUUUUACACAACUUCCAAUUCACGCCAACGUCGUCAACUACAACCUCCACAAUGCCUCGGGACGCCAACUUGCUUCGCCCUACGUCAUCACGUCCCAGGCUUUGAAAAAAACAACAGAAAAUUCCCGCCAAAUAAUUCCCAGCGAGAAGGAAGAGGAAGGUCGUUGUGCUUUUUGCAAGGGCAUGAUGGAGACACUGAAUCCGUCCAUCUCACUCCAAGCGCGAACGAAGCAGGAGCAACUGGUCCCACGUUCCUGGCGGGUGGGGCGAGGCGAGCGGAGGUUGCGAGAGGGGAUUUCUGCUCGCCAUAUAGGAAUCUCCCCGGGCGUGGGGACACACGCAUCAGCCCAAAUCAGAGGAAAUUCUCCUGCAGCUCCCUUCCAAGUUCCAACCACCGCUCGGUCGGAUUUUAUUUGCACAGAACUGGGAGGGGGGGGCCGAAACUAAGCCUACCCCACCCCCAAGUUCUUCUGGUCUUUAGCAGCCAGUCCUCCUUAUCCAGUCCAGCUCCAGCCACUUUCAAAACUCUGCGCCGCCUAAUGGCUCCGAUCACCAUUGCACAACCAUCUGGCACGAGAAAAACGGAGGGGGAGGGGGAGGCCCCCUCCCCCCCAUCACGCACCACGAACAAAAGGGCGAAAUCUUCCCUGCACUGCAAGCGCAAAACCGUGCGCCGGCCGAGCUUCCCUGCCUGCCUGCGGGCCCGGCGCCCGAGACGGGCUUUGCGGCGGCGGCGGGCGGCCCGGGCAACGGCGGCCGCGUUUGCUCGCCAGGCGCAAGGAGCAGCGGGCGGGCGAGCGAGCGGUUCUCCCCCGCGCCAGUGCGCGCCGCCUGCCCUCCCUGCCGCCUGGCGAUCGCUGCCGCCGCCAUGGCGCACCAGCCAGCCAGGUAGCCGGCCGAUCCAGCCCGGCGAGNUCGGGCAGGCGAAGCCCCCGAACGCCGCCGCAACCACCCCGUCCGCGAUCGACGCCUCGCCGCGCGAGUAG
RNAcentral lists this long non-coding RNA (1047 nucleotides) under Salvator merianae (Argentine black and white tegu). Its description in RNAcentral is "lncRNA (ENSSMRG00000008549.1)". Lineage: Eukaryota; Metazoa; Chordata; Lepidosauria; Squamata; Teiidae. The record is from RNAcentral.